GACGAACGCUGGCGGCGUGGAUUAGGCAUGCAAGUCGAACGGUAUCAUCCUUUCGGGGGUGAGAGAGUGGCGAACUGGUGAGUAACACGUAGGUUAUCUACCCUCAAGACGGGGACAACCCAGGGAAACUUGGGCUAAUACCGGAUGUGAGCAACUUUUAGUUGUUUGAAAGGUGGCGUAAGCUGUCGCUUGGGGAUGAGCCUGCGUCCUAUUAGUUAGUUGGUGAGGUAACGGCUCACCUAGGCAAUGAUAGGUAGGCGGCCUUAACGGGUGGUCGCCCACACUGGGAUUGAGAUACGGCCCAGACUCCUACGGGAGGCAGCAGUCGAGAAUAGUCUACAAUGGUCGGAAGACUGAUAGUGCGACGCCGCGUGAACGAUGAAUCCCUUCGGGGUGUAAAGUUCUUUUAUAUGUGAGCAGUGCUUCUUAUAUUAACAGUAUGGGGAGAGAGAUAUUAGCAUAUGAAUAAGCAACGGCUAACUCCGUGCCAGCAGCCGCGGU
This 501-nucleotide ribosomal RNA is filed under the name uncultured bacterium. RNAcentral describes it as "bacterial SSU rRNA". It matches the Rfam family "Bacterial small subunit ribosomal RNA", at positions 28 to 521 of the family's 1533-position model. The record is from RNAcentral.